Non-coding RNA from Rattus norvegicus (Norway rat), 16834 nucleotides. The record is from RefSeq and is a predicted model, not a curated record. Lineage: Eukaryota; Metazoa; Chordata; Mammalia; Rodentia; Muridae.
AGGAUAAUAGUCACCCCAUGGAUUUGAGUUUCGCCUGUAAAAUGCACUGUUCAUCAGUUAGCCUUGCUCUAUCCUGUACCUGCCUUCCUGCAUAAAGACAUCAACAUACAUAUACCUCGAGGUAUUUUUCCUUUUUAUCCAAAUGUCUUUUGUCUGUGUAAUAAAAGUACAACCUGGAUUAAAUCUGUUUUUAAUAAUAAUAACAAGAUUAUUAUUUUUCUGAAGUGAACUGUGUCUAUUAUUAGGUAUGUUCUGGCCAGAAAGCUUUAUGGUGAUGUGGGGUCAGUUUUACCCAUCUCAUGCCUGAUUGUGUGAGAUAGGUAGAGUGCAUAGUAUUUUAUUUUGUGCAUGAGGAAACUCACCAUUAGGAUUUUAUUGCCAUAAUUAAGGUCCCACAGUUAUCAGAUAAUGAAGCUGGGACUUGUAACCAGACUUACGGUAACAGUUUGUACACAAAGCUGGGUUCUGUCACCUAUUCUCAUCUCAUCAGUAAGCCAACCAAAAGAGCCAAAUUAAUAGUGAAAAACAGAAAAAAAAUUUAUUUAAUGUGACUACAUUGGGAAGAGGGACACAAGACCAAGUGGGACACUUCUCUCCUAUGGGUCCAUCCAUCUUCUAGGGCAGCGGUUCUCAGUCUUCCUCAUGUUGCGGCCCUUUAAUACAGUUCCUCAUGUUGUGGUAAAUCUCCCCUCCCCCCAAAAAAUUAUUUUCACUGCUACUUCAUAACUGUAGUUUGCUACUGUUAAAAAUUUAAUGUAAAUAUUUGGUAUACAUAUCUGUUAUGUGGCACCCCCCCACCCCCCGCAAAGGGGUCUCAAUCAAUAGGUUGAUAACCACUGUGGGUCUUGGUACUAGGGACAGUUUAAAUAGAAGGCAUGAAAUAUACACAAGUAAUAAAUAUGACCACCACCUUCUCAGUUCUGGUACCUCAUCCAAGUUGUACGUUUUUCCCCAAGUUUCUACUCUGGCUGCCUUUAAUGGGAAAAUUAUAAAUUCCUGAGGUCCACCCCCCCAAUAAUCGGAUAACCAAAGAGGCAGGCUGGUUAUAGGACUCUUUAGUACAGGCUUGUUUGUAGAGGAAUUUUAAUGUAGCAACAUGGUUGGGGCAAGGGAUCACAUCCAAAGACAUUCUAGGUCUACAUGAUCCAUCUGGAAUGUAGACACACCCUGGAUUACAAUAUGGUCUGGCUGGAAUAUAGACAUGCCUUUAGUAUAUACCUUUCUUCCAUAACAAUGAAGGUUUGUGGAAGGAAGCAGCCAUGUUUGAAAGUAGUGUCUAAUUGAAGGGCAGAUUUAUCAGAGAAAGAUUUGACAGAUUAAGUCAGAAAUAGGAUUCACCCUACUCACAGAACCAUUUAACACAUGAAAUAUAGGCUACUUAAGAUAAGAGCAGUGAGAGGAAAUAGAUGGGUGUAAGGCAGUUGAGGUGGGACAGUUUUACAGAGACAUGUGGAGACAGAAUGAGCCAGAAGAUUAGAACAUAUUGCCAAAGUUAGUAUGAGGCCAAGCAGAGCAAUUAAAGCAGAAGCUGAGAGAAGCCGGAUUGAGUCAGUAAGCUAGAAUCUUUCAGGCCUCUGCCUAGGGAUACUUAGAGAAGAAAAUGCUCUGGGCUCAGCCCUAGCCAUGAGUACAGCUCUCAUCCCAUCCUUUCAGUUUAGGAAAUAAAAGGUGACAUUUGCAUUUAUGCUUAUUAGUACUUAGUUUGCUUUUUCAAAUUGGAGUUUUAAAAUCUUUAUUUGGUGCUAGCAAGAUAGCUUAGUGGGUAAAAGUAUCUCACCUUUAAUUUCUGAUUUCCAUCAUCUACCUGGUAGGAGAGAACUGACUUCUACAAGUUGUCCUCCGACUCCUCCCCAACACGAACAUGCACAUAUACAAAAUCAAUUUUUUAAAAAAAGGUUAUUAGUGUUAAUCCUACAGAUGUGAGGAGGAAGACCACCUACCCAAAUCAUGCCAAACAAAGUAAACUUUUUCUUCUCCUAUACAGGCUGUCUUUUCCCUAAAGCUGUGAUUCAAGAGAUUAACCUUGGAUAUGGAGAAGAUAAAGGUUUUUAUAGUUCAAUAGUAGGGUUUUCAGAUGGGGGAUUUUGCAGGCAAGUAGAAUAGAAGCAUUUGUUCACAACUUUUUUAAACAGUUAAGGCAUGGCUGUAAGGUAAUCAUAAAAACCUUCUGAAAUAAAGGCACAGUUUCUAUUUCCUAGAACAAGCAGUACAGAAUCAUUUGUAGUUAAAGUUAUAUAUAGGUGGGCAUAAUUUUUGAGCAACAGAUUUAAUCAUAAACAGGAAUUGCUUUCACCCUAAGAUGGAGGCAGGCUGGUUUAGCAAAAGGAACACCUUUUUUUUUUUUUUUUUCUUUUUUUACUUUUUAAAGUAAGCUUUUAAUGAAUCAUUAGUUUCAUCAAAGUUUUCUUUUUUCAGAAUUUUGAAAAUUAAUGCUUAGCACCAAAGCAAAGCAUAAUUGGAUAUACCAUUAAGUAUAUGUGAUCUGCAUGUAUUUUUUUUUAAUAUUGUCCUAUACCAGGAUAAAUGGCUUUAUUUUUGUUAAGGUGUCAAAUUCGUUCAAGUAUUUCUGAGCAAAUUUCUUUACUACUAGAAAGCAAGUUUAUUCACUACAUUUAUAAAUUUAGUAUAAGCCAAUCUUAAAAGCCAAUACAAAAUUUGGAAGUAAUAUUAAUACAAUGAUGAUAUUAUGUUAUACUACACCUUUAUUCUUAAUAUCUUACUUACAUUGGUAUGAGUUAAUGUGUUGUCUCCUGUCUUACCUCUGCUAUCAUUGAACUCGAGAUAAAAUAUAAUGUCUUUAGUUGUGAUCUCAUACUUUUCUUGAUCUUGAUGAUCUUAGCUUUGUGUACUAGACAAUUAUUUUGUGGUACAUCCUUCUAUUUGAUAUCCUCAGUGAUUUUUCUUCUUCCCUUUCUCUCUUCUCCCAGGCUAUCUUGAAUUUUUUAAUUCUCCUGACCUUGGUGUACUAGGGUUACAAGAAUGCCUCAACCUUAUAAGUUGCCUUUUGAUUUUUCCUUUGUUCUCCAGUACCCACCCCCACACCCCCAAAGUGUGUUAGGUGAUCAAAUGUCUGGAUUUCCCAAAUAUUACUUAUCAGAUCACUUUUUUAUAUUGUGAGUUGAAAAAUGUUCCACACUGCUUUAUGAUCUAUAUAAUGUUCUUUGUUAGUUAAACUUGAAAAUUAUGCUUUGUGCAGCCAUGUCUAUGAGUUCAAAUUCACUCUGUUUCUGAAAUCAUCACUAACCUACUUGUAUACCUACUCAUAUUAAUCAUUGAAGAGAGGGCUGCUGAAGUCUUUAAUUGUGGUUUUCUUUUCUUCUUUCAGCCUUUUUAAAAAAAUGCAUUUUAAAGCUUCUUUAUCAAGUGGAUAAAUGUUUAGAAUGGUUACAGUUGCUUGAUGAAUUAGUCCCUUUUUUAAAUUAUAAAAUUACCCCCUUUUUCUCCGGUUAUAUCUUUCCCUCUCAACUGCCCUUUCAAGCCCCACCCACCCCAGAUUGAUACUAGGCUUCAAAUCCAGAAGUGCAUGGUAGGUAGGUACUCUGGCAGCUGUUUUGAUCGCAUCAAAUAAAUGGUUCUUAGAGAUUAGGUUUUAGAAGGGAAGAUUGAGUUUGUUGGUAAGCUACCUUUAUUUUAAUACAGCUUUUGUUUUCAUUUGACUAAUAGUAUCAUGGCUAAUCUUUUUUUAUUUUUUUACUUUAAUCUAUUUAUGUCUACAUUUACUUUUAGGUUGCUAACUUAUGUGGGGUUUUAUUUUUCUUUUUAAUUCAAAUUUAUAAACCCUGCUUUAAAAAUAGACCCUGGAAACAUAAAGAACAAAAUAAAACCAAACCAAAACAAAGGAAAGCAAAACAAACAAACAAAAAAACCUCAGACAAAUUUGAUGUAUGAUCUUUGUACACAAGGUUGGUGGUAUUGAUCUCAGGGUACUCUUUCUACCUCAGCCUUCCUGUUACUGGGAUUACAAGUGUGAGCCACUAGACCCAACCCUAACCUUUUAUUUUGAAAUAAUUGGAAGCCCAUAGGAAGUCGCAGAGAAAUACAUAGUGAGAUACUGUGGACCUUAACAGUUACCUUUUAACUUUUGGUUAUUACAAGGAAACUACCCUGAGCAUUUACAUUAAAUUUAUGUUUGAAACUUUUCUUUUUCUUAGCAUAAAUAUGUAAAAGUGUAAUGAUUGUGACUUCAAUUUACAUUUCUCCUAUAGUGAAAGAAAUGAACAUUUUUAUGUGCUUACUUGACAUUUGUAUGUCUUCCAUAAGUUGUCCUGUUUAUUUUCUUUCUUUAUAUAUUCUAUAUAUGAAUCUGCUGCUACUAAUAGACCAGCAGCCUAUUAGGGUGUGUGUAGACAGAAGUUGAAUGGACUGCUGUUGCUGUAUACCAAAUAAUACAUCACUGUGAUAGUUGUUGAUCUAGGCACCUUGAGUGACUAGGAACUUUUUAAAUGCUCCUGAGGAUGUAUUGGCCUUGUGAUUUUCUUCCCUUCUCUUUAUGCCUGUUUGAUUCUGAGGAGAGGCAUUUUAUUACCUGCUCACAGUAUAUGAUCAGUGUAUGCAUUGUAUAAAAAGAAAAGUCAAGUAAGUGUUGUCUUUCCUAGUGUCUUCGAGUCCCUAGAUAGUAAUUCUCCUUUAUAGCUUCAGCGUUCCUUUGCCCUUGGCUUUAGAAUAGUUUCCCUAAUAUUUAUAUAUGGAGGAUAGUAGCAGGGAAAAGUUGUUAUAUGUUAACGUGUUUUGAGAUUAGAACCAAAUUUCUGUCUUUUAAGUAAAAGAAAUUAGUGAGGGCUAGGGAUGUGUAGCUCAAUUGACAGGGUCCUUUCGUAGUGUGUACAAGGCUCUAAGUUUGAUUUUUUUUUUUUUUAAGAUCUCUCAUGAACCAGAUAUAGUACUAUAUAUGUUUUGUAAUUCCAACACUUGGGUGGGGGUGGGGUGUCAGGAGUUUUAGGUUAUUAUCUUUGUUAACUUUUCUGUUGCUGUGAUAAUAUCCUGACAAAAGCAACUUAAGAAAGGAAGGGGUUAUUUUUGCUCAUUGUUGGAGUCUAUUAUGGGGGGAAAUGAAAACAGCAGGAACUUGAAUCAGUUCGUCACUUUGCUUUUAGGCAGGGUGAAGAAAGCAGUAAAUGCUUGUGCUUAGGCUUACUUUGGGCAGGUCUUUCCACCCUAGUUAGCCUCAUUCCCUUAGGCAUGCCCAGAGGCCUAUCAUAGGUAAUUAAUAGGUAUCAAAUUGACAUUUGAGAGAUUACCAGCACAGUCUCUGGCUACAGAGUCAGUUUGAGGCUAGCCUGAGCUCCUCUUUUUCCUUCCCUAAAGAGCAGUUAUUGAUAAUAGAUUUGAACUUACAACUUUACUUGCUUUUUGUUUUUUACUUGCUUCUAUUGAGUUUUUGGUUGUCUUUGUGUGUUUUUAAAGUUAUUGGAUAAAUAAGUUUUUCUUGUUACCUUAUUUUAGCUGUCCGUGUUCUGAGUAUUUCAGAGGUUUUACAUCUUUGCUCCAGAUGAUAAGAAACUUAGUAAAAUAUACUUCUGUUUAAUGCGUCUUGAUUUUAUUUUUUUUUUUUUUGUAAUUGCAGUUCAUUUUACUACUAUACUAUUGGUCUCAUAAAGCAUUGGUACUAUUCUUUUUGUUUAAUAGUUAAUUAAGAAAUUUUGUGUGUUAGUAUGUUCAUUUGGGUAGUCAAAGAGGCUAGAAAGGGGUAUUGGGUCUCCUGGAGCUGGACUUAGAACUGGCUGUGUUGUGAUCUGAGAGUGUGGUGUUGGGAACUGGGCUUUGGUCUUUGGCAAGAACAUUUAUGUUUAACCACUGAGCUUUCUUCCAGGCUCCCCAGCUAACUUUUAAGGAAUUUCAGUUAAUGUAUAAGUAUAAUAUUUACAUAUUUACUGUACUUUCUUUGUUUUUCUAUUGUAUAGAUCUCAAUUUCCAUCUUGUAUUAUCUUCUUUCUGCCUGAAAGACUUUUGUUUCUUGUGAAGUUUUCUUAGUAGGUAAUGAUUUUUUUCAGCUUUUGUGGUAAAACUUUAUUUUUCUUUCUUAAAAGAUUUUGGCUUGGUAUACAAUUAUUGAAUUGUUUUGCCCUAGUCCCAGGGACACAAAAGACCACUGAGGAGUCAAUACUGAUGUAAACAUAUAGGGUCUUUAUUAUGAGCUGGCAAGCAAGAUCUCUCACAGUCUCAGUCCCAGUCCCAGCAAGUUAGAGGGUUUUUGUUGUGGUUACAACAAGUUUGGGGAAUUUCCAUAUGGGUCAGCAAGUUAAUAUUUUAAAAACUGCAUUUCUGGCGUAAUCUUCAGGAACCGAAUCUUUUGUAGGGGCAAAAGCACCUGACUACUAAGAUGGCUAAGUUACCUACUCUCUGCAGGAUGUUUUAGGUUAUCUCUAUGUACCUUGACCCUGCUUUUGUAGCCUGGCUGUUGUUGGGGGUUGGGGGUGUUGUCAUAGGAUGUUUGCUCAGGUGGACUUUGUGAUUUUCUUCCUGGAAUUGGAGUUUAGCCCCUGCUCUCACGCAAAAUGGAGUUUCUUAAAAAUAAGGAGUUGGUUGGACUUUAACAGACUGACUUCUUCCCCCUGCAACACUCUGGAGGUUUUAGCUCAGGUUUAGUGCUUUAACUAUUUUUGUAAGUGAAAUUUGCUUUUUUUUCCCAUCCAUAAGUAAGCCGUCUUUGUCUACUUGUUAGGUUUUUCCUCAUUGCUAGGUCUGUUUUACCCUAGGGUUAUGUUAUAACUUGUAGGAUUUUUGUUUUUUUCAGAAUAUAUUUUUAAUAUUUCUUAAUUGAUAUCUGUUGCUCCUUGAUCUAUAACUUUCAUCCGGUUUGAAAUCUCUGCUUUUGUGUCUUCAGAAUUUUUCCUUACAUCUUGCAUUCUAAUCACACAUAUAUCACAUUGUUUGAAGGCUUUUCUUUACUUACUGAUGUGCUGUGUGUGUUGUGUAUGUGUUGUGCAUGCAUGUGAGUGUACAAGUAUGUCUACCUGCUCCCAGAGUUCAAUUUCAGGUGUCUUCCAGUAUUCCCAUCUGUGAAGUUAGGAGGUCUUUUACUGAACGGGAAGCAUGACAGUCCUGUCUGAAUCUACUUUCUCUCCUCCUCAAUAUUAGGGCCCUGUAGUCAUGUUUGGCUUUUUAGAUGGAUAUUGAUUAUGAUGGAUAAGUCAUCACGCUUGUGCUCUUAUUCAAUCAGCAAUCCCUCUACUCCCUUCUUAACCUCCUACCCACUUCUGUUCUUUUUAAAAGAUGUUUCUCCUUGCUGGAUCUCAUUUUGUAUUCUUGUGUUUUCAAGUUUACUGAAUUUGUUCUUUGAUAAUGUUCAUUCUCCCCUUAUUAUUACCCACUGUAUUUUUUGUCUUGUAAUUUUCAGUUGUGUUUCAAAAAAUCAGAACAAAACAUAUGGUCUUUCCUUAACAUGUUUAUGCUUUGCUCUAGGUUUUCAACCUUAUAUUUCCUUGAUACAUAAUUUUGAUUUUUCUGUUGACUAUAGUUGUAGUUUCUUACAUGCCUGAUCAGUAAGGAUAAUGUGAAUUUUACCUUUGUAGCUUCUGAAUAUGUAUUGUUUUGUACAGUGUCAGACAAAGCAAAGCAGUGUUUAGUCUUACCUCAACACGUAGAGCAGUAUUCUUUUGAAAAUUUCUUUGGGAUGCUGCUUAAUAACCCUCCCCCCAACACCCAUACAUCUACAUACUUUUAACAUGAAAUAGCAACUGUUGUUUCUUACUGUUUAAGCCACAUGCAUUUUUUCCCCACUAUGUUUCAGAUGUUCCUAAUGCAAUUCAGUCCCCCAACUCAGCUCAUACCCAUUGUUUGUCAUUUGGUAAUUUAAGGUAAAAUGUAUGAAGAUAACCUAUCUAAAUGUUCUGAUUGUAUCAGUCUCAUCCCACUAUUUACUUUCUAUAUACUCAGCUCUUGGCCUAUCCACAUUUCUAGCUCCUUUUUCAGUCAGGUAAGUUAACAUUUUGACUGCAUUCCUCUACUUUACCAUUGGAAGCUUCUAAAUGUGUGCGCAUUCCUUUACUAUCCUUAAUUAGCCACUACAUUGGCUUUGUAUCAGAUUAGAUUAGUUUGCAUUUUCUAAAGUUCUGAUUUUGUGGAAUCAUGUAUAUAUUCAUUUGUCAUUGUUUCUUUCUCAUAAUUAAUCUUUGAGAUUCACCCAUAUUGUCCUGUGUAUCAAUGUAUACUCACCUUUACUUAUGAGAAGUUAUUGAGCAUAUGAAUAUAUUACAAUUUGGUACUCAUUUAUCUUUUAAUUUGUGAGUUGUUCUUACGUUUAAAACCUCUAUGAGCAUACUUUGAUAGUCUUUAUAUGGGAAUAUAUUUCCUUUUUUUGGGCAAAUACUUAUGAGUAGAAUUAAUAGAUUAUAUAUAGUAAACUGCAAAAAGACUUUCAAAGUGAAUGCAUGUGAAUGCAUUUCUACCAGCAAUAUAUGAGUGGUCCAAUACUUCCAUAUUCUUCUGAAUGUUUAGAAUAGUUACUCUUAAUUUUAAGCAUUUUAGUAUAUGCAUAGUAGUAUGCCAUCUUUAUGUUGUUUUCAGUUCACAUUUGAAUAAUGAUAACAAAUGUUUUGUCUUUUCUUUGGUUGGUACUAGUUCACAUUAUUGGUCUAUUUUAUUUGCAAAAAUAUUUUCUUUUUCUAAAAUGGGGUCCCAAUUUGUAGCCCUCUUUAUAUAGACCUGGCAGGCAUCAAACUCACAGAGAUCUGCCUGCUUCUCCCUCUGCCUCCCUCAAAAUUGGGUUUUCACAUUAUUUUGUUUUGAGAGCUCUUUCCAUAGUUUGUGUAUAAGCACUGUAUCAAAUACAUGUUCUUCAGUUUGUGAUGCUUCUCUUCAUUCUCUUUUAACAGUAGUGUCUGAAGAAUAGAAAAAAUGUUCUUAUAAAGUUUCAUAUAUCAUUUUGUUCUUCCAUACAAUUAUGCUUUAAUCUUGUAACAGUAUUAGUUUUUGUUUGGAUUACCUCUCUCCCCUUUCAUGUUAAAAAAUUUGUGUGUGCAUACACACACAUUCACAUGUGCCAUGCACAACAACACUGUGAAGGUCAGAGGACAACGUAUAUAUAAGAGUCAGUUUUCCCCUUUAAAUAUAUAUGUGUGUCCUGGGGAUUAAAUUUAGGCUGUGAGACUUGGUGGUUGUAUCUACACUGCUACCUACAGAGACAUCUUGCCAGCUCUAUGUUCAAAUUUCUGUUUUUAUAAGUUUGAAAUUUCAUUUCUAAGAUCAAAGCAGAUUAGAAGUACUUUUUCUCAAGUAAAAUAGGCAGUGGAAUUCUCAACAUAAACUCAAGGCUUUGCUGUAUGUUUAGGGUUUCUAUUGCUGGUUAAAAUACUGAUCUAAAACAAUGUGGGGAGGAAAGAGUCUAAGCAGCUCAUAGAAGGAACAUCAUCUAGGGAAAUAAGAGCAACAGGAACUCAAGCCAGGAACCUGGAAGCAAGAACUGGUUCGGAAGUUAUGCAGAACUGCUGCUUACUGGAUUGCUGCUCAUGGCUGGUUCAGCCUGAUUUCAUAUAUCAUCUAAGAUCACCUACUUGCCCAGUGACCUGGACACAUCAGUUAUAAAGAAAAUGUCCCAUAGGCCAUUGUGGAAAGGGGGUCAGGAUUUUCUCAGUUGAGGUUGCCUUUUCCCAAAUGAUUUUUAGCUUGGGUCAAGUUGACAUAAAACUAGCCCAGCACACCAUAGGAAUUCUGUUUAUACUUUUAGUAGAAACUCUGGCUUUUUAUUCAUUCAAUAAAUCUUGAGUUAUUCUCUGAAAAUUCAUUCUAAUUAUUCAUUCUAAUUCAAGAGGUAUGGUGAAGGAAUGUGGCUUUUAGCAUUUUGUAUCUUAAAAUUUAUUCUUUUUUGAAUUAUGUAAAGUGGCUUUCAAAAGUAUGGAAUUGAGUUAGUUAUUGUUGUAAAAGAAUAUUAUUGUUGUCCCAUAAAGAAACACACAAAAUGAAAGUAACCUGGCAAGGCAAUUUCAUUUUGUAGAAGAAUGUGCCAUGUUCCAAGCUGAGUUAGCAGGAAUAGCAAGCAGGAAAUUCAAUAGGCUUUUAUCCUACUGCUGGGGUCUGCCCUCCCAGCCUUUUGUGUUUACCUAGGUUCCCCCCUCCACCCUAGACUCUUUCUUUUUUCUGGUGUACCCAUGCUAAUGCUAGAACUCCCAUCUGUAGACCAGAGUAGCCUUGAACUCAGAGAUUCCACCUGUCUCUGCUGAGAUUAAGGGUGUGAACCAUCUUUCAAAGAGCCUCCAGAGGAAGGCCCUAAAACAAGGAAUUAAUUAUUGCAUCUGUUUUAGUUAAGGUUUUAUUGCUGUGAAGAGACAUAGCCACAACAAUUCUUAUGAAGGAAUACAUUUAAUUGGAGCUGGCUUACAGUUUCAGCGACUUAUUAGUUUAUUAUCAUGCGGGAAGCAUGGCAGCAUGCAGGUAGACAUGGUGCUGGAGAAGGAAUUGAUCCAAAGGCAGCUGAAAGAGACUAUUUCACACUGCAUGUAACCUGAGCAUAGGAAACCUCAAAGCCUGCCCCCACAGUGACAUGCUUCUUUCAUCAAAGUUUGACCUAUUCCAACAAGGCUACACCUUCUAAUACUGUCACUACUAUGGGCCAAGCAUUUAAAUACAUGAGUCUAUGGGAGCCAUUCCUAUUCAAACCAUCAUAGCAACCAACCCUCUAGCAAGGCUUAAGGGGAACCUGCCUCCUUAAGGGUAAUUAAUCCUUUUGGGGCAGUCUAUUGCCUGCCUAGCUGGAAUUCAGUAAGCUUAUCCAAAAGACUCUUAAACUCUGGUAUUUCCAUUUGUAUGAUAGCCAGGUGUGAGGAGGAAAGAGAGCCCUUGGUUGGUGCUUGUAAAGAGAUGUGAGGGAGAAAUAAAGACAAGUGCUAGGCAGGGUGCCCUGAGAAGCCAGAACUGAAGAAAGUUUUUUAAUUUCUAAAUUAAAGUCCAUUAGAAUCUCCUGAUGGAAUGACAUGAGCAUCUAUUUAUUUUGGCUCCUUGUUUUGCCUUUGGCUGCCAAGGCUGGUCUCUCGAGUGAUGAACCUGUGAUCUGCUUUUAUGCAUUUUGGAAACUGUUGGAAUGGCUAGAAAAUAAACAUUAGGUCACUUCCAGAUGACUUCUAGAUAGGGAGAGAAUAUAAAUUUAGCCAUCAUUUAAGUUUUAGGUUACAGAGGUGGUGGAGGGGUCUCCGUUGGCUGUGGGUUGGUGUUUUAGUGAGCCAGUAUCUAAAUUAUAUCUGGGUAUCAUUUUUAAAAGAAAAAUGGAGAUGAGUCAGUCAUUAAGAGCACUUGCUGCUCUUCUAGAAGACCCAGGUUUAAUUUCCAGCACUCAAAUGGUAGCUCACAAUUGGCUGGACCUUUAGUCCCAGGGACAGCAGGCAUGCAGUCAAAACACCCAUACACAUAAUAAUAAUAGUAGUAGUAGUAGUAGAGCUGGAAUAAGCAAGCUUCCCAAAUUCUGCACUAUUUUGUUAUGUGUCCCCUACUGAAAUUAUAGUUGUCUCUGCCCAAUGCCUACAUGUAAAAGGUUUCCUUUGUUUUUUGCUAGUCAUGGUAGGUGUAUUUAGGUCCUUGUGCCUAUAUAAGCACUGUAGCUUUGUACUUCAGAAUAGCCUUGAACUCAUUUAUGUAGUCCAAGCUAGCUUUGAACCUCCCAUUCUCUUUGCAUUACUCUGUCUUGCCACCCUGAGUGUUGGGAUUUUAAGUGUGAACCACUAUGUCUGACUUCAAUACUAAAAGUUAUUUUGCCUGUCUUUCUGAGUUCAACUUCUCUCUAGCCCACUUUGCUAUAACUUCAAAAAGUACUGAUUUAUUAAUUCACUUAUCUCUUUCUAUUGCAUCCCCCUUCUGUGUGUCCUGUGUAUGUGUCUCUGUUUUGCACCCACUUUGUGCUUAUUGUUUGCAAGUGUCAGAAGAGGGCAGUAGAUACUCUGGAACAGAAUUUGCGGAUGAUCCUGAGCCACCAUGUGGGUGCUGUGAACCAAACCCAGGUAUUCUUGAAGCAGAGAAAGCACUCUUAAGUAAUGAACUAUCUCUGCAGCUUCAACAGAUUUCUCUGUAUGUAUAUUUUAGAAUUUCAAAUUAAAUUCAUCUAACUGAAAGAACAUAAGAAAAGCUUUGUUUGAGCAUCUUUCUCUACCUUCAGGUAUUAAUCUAUUUGCUGUUGUUGUUGUUGCUGCUAAAACAAAGUAUUCAAUGUUGAGUACCUAAAAGAAAAGUUUAUUGAUAUUUAAAGGCAGAGUGCCUAGUAUGGUGAAGAUUUCAUGGUAGAUAGUCAAAGCCUUGCCAUGCUUCUCUUUUCUUUUAUUUCAUUUUUUUCAUAAAGCAGACAGACGGUUACUUAUUGAGAUCUCCUCCCUGUUUUUCUUUCUGCAGAGAGGAUCUCUUUACUCUCUUUCCUUCAAUUGGCCUGUUUGCUUAUUAUAUGUGUGGGUUGGGGGUUUGGGGGAACGUGCUUAUGCCACACAGCUCUGUGUGGUCAGAGAACAACUUGAGCUAAUCAUCAGUGAACUUCCACCAUGUUAGUCCCAAGGAUUGAUUUUAUGUUGCCAGAUUUGGCAGCAAGUGCUGUUACCCUCUUGUCAUCUUGCUCUGUUUUUUUUUUUCUUUGUUUCUUUCUUUUUCUUUUUCUUUUUCUUUUCUUUUCUUUUUUUUUUUUUUUUUUUUUGAGGCAGGGUGUCAUGUAGCUACUGCUGGCCCCAAACUCUAAGGUAGCUGAGAACUGGAACCAGAGAUAUGAACUAUAUAACACAUGAUGUUAUUUUAUUUGUGUGUGUGUGUGUGUGUGUGUGUGUGUGUGUGUGUGUGUGUGUGUGUGUGUGUAUCAUCUGCUUGUGGAAUCUAGAGGUUCAGGAACAUUAGGGAAAGCAUCCUACCAACUAGGCUAUAUCCCCACCCUCUAUCUUUGGCAUCAUCUUGAAUACCUGGCUAAUACCAACAAGGCAGUAUCUCAGGUGGUUUUUUUUUUUUUUUUUCCACUUAAAUUUUGGUGUUUGUUUUGGUUUUGACACAGCUUCACCCUGUAGUCCCAACCAUUCUGGAAUUUAUAACAUUCCUUGUCCUAUCUCCCAAGUAUUGAGAUUAUAGGUUUGAGCCACCAUGCCCUGUCCCUCUACUUAGCUCUUAAGAGAAUUCUCAGAAACUAUCAGGCUACAUUGAAUGAAACUCUAUUGUAGGGACAUCAUUACCACCUGUUUGCCUUUUCCUCCACUCUCAGCUAGAGUCUAGUAGAAUUACUGAAGUUUCUGCUGUGUAGGUGAUUCCAGCCAAGGAAGUAACACAAAAAUAAAAGUAGAGUCCAUCUUUUCUUUCUGUUUUAUUAGGCAGAAGUUUAUCAGGCUACACUUUUGAGAGUUUUGCAGCUAUGUAUUUAUGUAAACAUGGGUCUAAUGAAAUUGAGUUCAAAUUGUAAAAGAAGAGAGACUAUCUGGGAUACCGACAAUUGGAAGCAAUUUACAAAACAGUGUUUAUAUAAAUGUGUAAGGUGGGAAAGAUAUGUCCUCACAUUUGCAAAAUAGCUUGAAUAUGACAUUUAAAACAUGUGUUGCUUCUGUAUAAAACAAUUAACUGGCAUGCCGAAGUCAGGAGGGGGAAACACUCUUUGCUGUAAGAGAUUCUUUUGUUUAUUUCAUUGGGAUAAGGUCUUACUAUGUAGCCUAAGCUGGCCAUGAAAUUGUAGCAGUUCACUUCAGCUUCUUGAGUAUUGAUAUUAUAGAAUCAGGCCAGCUGUGACUCCAAGCAUUUUUUGAUGGCCUGUAGUAAGUAUUAAAACUGUAUUGAAAGUUUUUUGAGAAAGUGUGAUUCUUUAAAAUGAUGAUUAUUCCGUACAUUUUCACAUUACAGUUUUCUCAUACAAUUCUUAAAAGAUUUAUACAUAGAUUCAUAGAAGCCUAAGGAAUCUUUAAAAAUUUAGUGUAUCUUACCCAAAGUAAGAGUCUCAAUCAAGUAGUUUAGUGUUUUUUUCCCCCCCCUACUUCCCACCCAACUUUGAGACCCACCCACCCCUACCCCCUUUUCCCCUUUGAGUCCAGUUUGUGUUGCCAGCUAGUUUUGGGAUUGAGGCCUGCUCUGGUGUGUGGGCCAGUCUGCAGUGAGUCACAUCAUUAAAACAAAACAAAACAAAACACCCGACUUUCCUUCUUUCAGCAGUCAUGAAAUGCUAAUAGUGCCUUCACUAGUGGUGGGAUUUCAUAACUUCUGUCUUCUAGUCUGAGAUUUUGUUUGGCUGGAGUUUGUACAGGUCUUGUAUCUGGUGUCACAUCACUAUGAGUGCGUAUACAUACCUGCUCCAUUAUGUCUGGAAAACACUGUUUCCAUGAAGUUUUUCAUCACUGCUGGCUCUUACAAUUUUUCUGUCCUCCGUUCUGCAAAAAUCUCUGAACCUUGUGGUGAGAUAACCACAGUCUGAUUUGGGACUGAACAUUCUAUAGACUUUUAUUCUGCACAUUGGGGUCACCCGUGUUGCCUGUCAAGGAGAAGUUUCUUUGUUGAGGGUUUAGAGAUAUACUGGUCUCCGGAUAUAGCAAACAGUCAUUAGAAAUUGUUCUAAUACUACGUCUAUUUAGCAAAAUAAUAGUAUUGGGUCUCCCCUGGGGCAUUUGACCUAUCUAGCCACAGGUUCGUGGCCCCUUAAGUGCAAAGUGUGGGUUCCAUUUAUAUUGUUCCUUGUACUUGUAUGUUAUCCAGCCGCUUCACUUAAUCCUUUAAAUUAAAUAAUGUUGUUUAUAUGAUGCUUAUAUGCUUCUAAAGUAUUUACUUUCAUGUUAGGUACUGAACAUAAAAGAUUUAUAUAUAAUGCUUAUGUAUGUAUUUUUUCUAUAAUAGGAGUGGAACAUAAGGCCUUGUAUAUGUUAGCCAAGUACUCUACCAAUCACUAAGCUGUAACUCCCAGCCUAGUAUGCCAUAUUAAAAGUAAUUAGACUGACUGACUCAGAAGUCAAGAGCACUUGUUCUUGUACCACUCUCUCUCACUCUCUAUCUCUCUCUCACACCCUCUCACUCUCCCUCCUUCCCUCUCCCUCUCCUUCCCUCCCUCUCCCUCUCUCUCCCUCUCUGUCACACACACACACACACACACACACACACACACACACACACGCGCGCGCGCGCCCUCGCGUGUACGCAGGCAUAAAAACCACAAUGAGAAAAACUAAAAAUACAAAACGAUUUCAGUAAAAGCUUUAUUUACAAUACUAUUAUUAGCUUUAAAAACAUUUAAUAUGAAAUUAGGAUUUCCACAUUGUAGUCAGUAAUCAAUUUCUCUUAACCUGCACUAAAUUGUAUUUUAUACUCAAACAGUCCAUCAUAUAGAGGUAUAUAAGGAGACUCUGGAAAUUUGCACCUUUAAAUUAUAGUAAUUCCCAAGACUUCACUAUAGAAUUCAGAUCCUUUUAAUUAUAGAGAUGUAGAUUGGUUAGUAGUUCUCAGUGCUUGUGAUUUGGUACAUACACAUUUAGCUGGCAAAGGGUAUAAUAAGAACUAAAGACUUUUUUUUUUUUUUUUUUUUUUUUUUUUUUGGUAGCUCUUAAGCUUUAAAUAUAGUAGGAUCAACCUGGAAUUACCUUGUUUUGGAUCGGUUCUUCAGACAUGUUGAUAGGUAAAUUUGGUUGGGAUAGUAAAUUUUAGCAUACAUUUUUAAACUGUUUGAUUCUCUACACUUCAAGGCUCUGUGUCAUAAGGAAAAAUUAAGGCCUUCUAAGUAGUCAUUACAGGAAAUUUGUAUGAAAAUAGUGAAAUGAUAUUUUUUAAUGGUAUGGAAACUGUUUGAGUUUCUUUCUUUGUAUGUGCUAAACCUGAGAGAUACUUAGAGAUUUGAGAUUCUACUAGGAUGCCUUACAACAGCAACAAUAUGGACUAUUUAAGGAAAAUUUAACAUUAUCAAAAAGACUGUAAUGGUUAGAGCUUUGUUGUUAUUUAAAAAGGGAAGAAACAAGUGCAUCUAUUCUAUGCCAAAUUCUGUGUGUAAACUGCUAUAGAAAUUUUUUUCUUCCUUCCUUUUCCCUGUCUUCCUGUCUGUCUUUGUGUGUGUACAUGCUUGUGUAUGAGAGAACUUAUGUGCAACUGCAGAGGUCAUAGGACGGUCUGACUUUCUUAUAUGGAUUCUGGAGAUCUUAACUCAGGUUGUCAGGCUCAUGCUAUAAGCACUUACUGAUUUAUCUCAGGGUCCAGUUUUGACAUCUUUAUCAUUUUGUCAGGUCUCUUAAAAUUGAGGUAAGAAAAGUUCCCCAAGAUCUGUAGUGUUAAACAACUGGAGUAUGUUAUCAAACUCAGAUCUAUCAUUUGUUUUCUGUAGAGUUCAAAUGAAUUAACAGUCUUUUUGUUUUCCGAGAAAGGAAAUGUGAGAGUAAAGGUAUAUAAAUAUUUUGGAAGUGUAAGAUAGAAUUAAUGUGUUUGACUUACUUCAUAAUAAGGAAAAGCCAAUUAAAAGGUGUUUUAAAUCUGGUAAAGAUUUUGGCUAAAGCAAAACAUUGAAUAUAAAAUGGUAGCUGUUCUUACUACAGAGAUUGUAUGAAUUCUCACAUAAUUGUAUUAAGUUCUCCAUGUUUGUAGGAAAAAUGGAUAAUACUUGAUUUGAAAAUAGGUUUGUUUGUAUGAGCAGAGAUUACGAUAAUAGUUUAGAUUUGUAAUUUAUGGAUAGAAUUGUCAUUUGUUAAAGUGCUCCUUUAUUUCAUUUGUCAACUAUUGUUACAGUUUUGUAAUGGGAAAGACAUUUAUGCCCUAAUUAGUGGAAUCGCUGAUAAAUACUUAAAGAAGCUAUUUCUUUUAAAGAAUGGUAUUAUAUUGAGAUACAAGAAAAAAUACAUUGAUUUCUUGGAGUAUAGAUAUAUACAUUAUCUUAUGGAAGAAUGUAUUUUUAGGAUUGUUAUCUAUGUCUUAAACAUUUGUGUUUUUCCCCCCUUAG